CGGGAAUAUAUUUAUGAGGGUUCCUAUAUGUUUUAUGUGUAUUUUUAUGCAAAGUCAUUGUGACUCAGAAGUUCGUGGGCAUGUUGUCGGAGUUUAUGUGGGCGUGUAUACUGUAUUCCUGAAUUGCAUAAAACUCGGCCAUCUUGCCUGAAUAAAAUGAUUCCUGUUGUACCCUUCAUCUAGUCUGGACUGAUGUUUGGGUAUGUGACUGACG
This is a non-coding RNA of Pelobates cultripes (western spadefoot toad), 214 nucleotides long. The record is from the annotation of a GenBank genome assembly. NCBI's taxonomy places the organism in Eukaryota, Metazoa, Chordata, Amphibia, Anura, Pelobatidae.